RNAcentral lists this transfer RNA (68 nucleotides) under Marmota monax (woodchuck). RNAcentral describes it as "tRNA.Val". Lineage: Eukaryota; Metazoa; Chordata; Mammalia; Rodentia; Sciuridae. The record is from RNAcentral.
GGAUAUAACUCAGUUGGUAGAGUGCUUGCCUUACGUGCACAAAGCCCUGGGUUCAAUCCACAGCACCA